CCCCUAGAUGUUCUGGGCCGCACGCGCGCUACACUGAACAGUUCAACAAGUCUUAACCUUGGCCGAUAGGUCUGGGUAAUCUUUGAACGCUGUUCGUGAUUGGGAUAGACCUUUGCAAUUAUGGGUCUUCAACGAGGAAUUCCUAGUAAACGCAAGUCAUAAGCUUGCGCUGACUACGUCCCUGCCCUUUGUACACACCGCCCGUCGCUACUACCGAUUGAAUGAUUUAGUGAGGACUUCGGACUGGGACCGAUGCGGCUUUCGGGCUGCGUCGGUAUUCUGGAAAGAUGUCCAAACUGUAUCAUUUAGAGGAAGUAAAANUCGUANCA
Molecule: ribosomal RNA, 329 nt
Filed under: uncultured eukaryote
Lineage: Eukaryota
Description: partial 18S ribosomal RNA
Rfam family: Eukaryotic small subunit ribosomal RNA
Source: RNAcentral